UACGUAGGGGGCAAGCGUUGUCCGGAAUCAUUGGGCGUAAAGCGCGCGUAGGUGGCCCAGUAAGUCCGCUCUGAAAGUCAAAGGCUCAACCUUUGAAAGCCGAUGGAUACUGCGGAGCUAGAGUACGGAAGAGGCGAGUGGAAUUCCUGGUGUAGCGGUGGAAUGCGCAGAUAUCAGGAGGAACACCAAUAGCGAAGGCAGCUCGCUGGGACGUUACUGACACUGAGGCGCGAAAGCGUGGAGAGCGAACAGG
RNAcentral lists this ribosomal RNA (253 nucleotides) under uncultured bacterium. Its description in RNAcentral is "partial 16S ribosomal RNA". It matches the Rfam family "Bacterial small subunit ribosomal RNA", at positions 524 to 776 of the family's 1533-position model. The record is from RNAcentral.